GGUCGAUUAGCUCAGUUGGUUAGAGUGUCACGUUGACAUCGUGGAGGUCAUUGGUUCGAUUCCAAUAUCGACCACAA
Molecule: transfer RNA, 77 nt
Filed under: Fidelibacterota bacterium
Lineage: Bacteria; Pseudomonadati; Fidelibacterota
Description: tRNA-Val
Rfam family: tRNA
About the family: Transfer RNA (tRNA) molecules are approximately 80 nucleotides in length. Their secondary structure includes four short double-helical elements and three loops (D, anti-codon, and T loops).
Source: RNAcentral